This 882-nucleotide ribosomal RNA is filed under the name Triticum aestivum (bread wheat). RNAcentral's name for it is "partial small subunit ribosomal RNA". The record is from RNAcentral. Lineage: Eukaryota; Viridiplantae; Streptophyta; Magnoliopsida; Poales; Poaceae.
AUGGAUAGCACGCCAUGCCCAAUAAUGAGCUGGAACAUUAGAGGCCUAAACACGCCGGCUCGACGUUCUAUAGUUUGUGAGGCUGCAAGCACGCAUAGGUUAGCUAUUCUCUGUCUCCAGGAGACAAAGAUCGAAAACUGGUCGCCAGCGAUAGCAAAGGAAAUCGGAGGUAGUAGGCUAGAUGAUUGCGCCGUGCUGCCUGCCAUGGGAACACGAGGAGGAAUCGCCAUUUUCUGGAACUCCAACACUGUCUCCAUUCAAACCCACGCAAUAGGCCAGUUCUCCAUCACGGCUAAAGUUAGUUUAAUCGGAGCCCAGGACUACUUCUGGCUGACAACGGUCUACGGGCCAGCAGAUGAGAUUCGCAAGGAUGAUUUCCUUGCCGAAAUCGUUAGGGUAGCUCCCCAGCCAGGAGAGGCCUGGCUGAUUAAUGGCGAUUUCAACAUUAUAUAUGAGGCUAGGGACAAAAGCAAUAGCAACAUCAAUCGUAGGAUCAUCGGCAAGUUUCGAGCGGCCAUUGAUGCAGGGGGCCUUCAUGAGAUCAAAUGCAAGAAUCGCCGCUUCACUUGGAGCAACGAGCGGAGAAACCCGACCCUUGUCAGUAUUGACAAGUUCUUCUGCAUGAUUGCAUGGGAAAGCCUGUUCCCAACGCACCUGCUGCACGCCGCAUCCACCUCGUGCUCCGACCACUGCCCUUUGCUGCUUGCAGCUACGGCAGCCCCUCGACGACGGGCUAGAUUCAGAUUCGAGUCCUUCUGGCCCCAACACCCACACUUCCAUGAGACAGUAGACAGGGCAUGGAAUCGACCUACGACAGAGUGUUGUGCUUUUGCUAGGCUUAACACAAAAAUGAAUAGAGUGGCUAAGGACCUGAAGAUUUAG